Molecule: long non-coding RNA, 540 nt
Filed under: Elaeis guineensis (African oil palm)
Lineage: Eukaryota; Viridiplantae; Streptophyta; Magnoliopsida; Arecales; Arecaceae
Description: long non-coding RNA (EGUI_LNC077503)
Source: RNAcentral
UGUGACCCUUGGCAUGUGGGGGUUCUCUUCCAGGCAUGGAGCACCACUUUAAGCAUCCUCCUUCUCCUCCAGGCCUCUUCUAGUUGUUUAAAAUCUGAUUUCAAAAGCUGCUUCUUUUUUUUCUCAUGUUGGUUGAUCAUCCCUCUUCCCUGCGGAGUCUGGUAUGCAUACAAAGUAGAGAGUUUGUGCGGUCAGACCUUGUGAACCAUCGGAUUCGAGUUCUUUUGAAGAUUUUGAUCCCUAUUCCACUACGAUUUAGAUAAUUUAUAAAAGUUAUAAAUUAAUAGAAUAGAAAAAUUUUUCAGAUGCACCUUGAUGAUCCGAUCAGAUUGGAUGAAUUUUUCCUUCACAUACUCUCUCACUGAAGUGAUAAUCUGAAUUAAUCACAUUGACUUCUUUCUAACUAAUGAUUGUGCCUCCAUUAGAUCUCAUCUUAUCUACUGUGCCUAUGAAGUAUACCUUUGAAUCUUUGCACAAGUAGAAGGAAUAAUUUUGAUGAAAGUCCUAUCGAUAAAUGCAUUCUCAUUCAAUAUACCAAUU